Eurytemora carolleeae is the source of this 1863-nucleotide RNA transcript. It is a transcript of the gene named sorting nexin-20, with no coding region annotated. The transcript has 15 exons. The record is from RefSeq and is a predicted model, not a curated record. NCBI's taxonomy places the organism in Eukaryota, Metazoa, Arthropoda, Copepoda, Calanoida, Temoridae.
UGAUGUAAACGCCGAACACUGUAUUUCAGAGGAAAAUACUAAAAAUGAUGACUGAGGUGGAGGAUGGUGACCUGACCGGUACAGGUCAGCAGAAAGAGAGCUCCGGUCAGAUCGGAAAAGAACUCCCACCUCCGGAUGUCACCUCUCAUGAGAAUAAAAGAAUAUUAGGUAAUGGUAAGGAGGCUUCCAACCUAAACACUAGCGAUGAUAUAGGAGCCUGUGAUCUGAACGAAACUGUAUCUGAAAAUGAAAGCAAAGAACACAAUUCUAGCACUGAUGCUAUUCAUGGAGACUCAGGUGUAGUCCAUGAAGACGGUGUUAUUGAAGAGGAUCUGGAGAUUCCUGAUGAUCCUCCAGUGAUCAGGAACACCAGCCUCCAUUUUACAGAGGACCAUGAUACACAGGAUACAGAAGAUAGGAGGACACAGUCUCCUCAUUCUGUCCAGAAAGGGUUCUCCAAGAUGAGCGUAUCGGAGAGAGUUGAACCUGGAGUAAAGAAACCUGUAGAAAUCCGUCCUGUACAUAUUGGAGAUAUGAAGAUCAGAUCUAAACUCAAAUUCGAGGUUGUUACAGCAAAGGUCAUGGAGGAGGGCGGGAAGAAGUUUGUGGCAUAUACCAUCAUGGUAAAGAGAGUGAGUGGGGAUCCUCAUCCUGCAGUUAUUCAUAGAAGAUACAAUGACUUCUGUCAUCUAUAUGAAAGAAUCCUUUGCACGUUCCAUUCUUCAGUCCUUGGCGAGUUCCAGUUUCCUAAAAAAGUUCUCAUUGGUAACUUUAAAGCGGAAGUAAUCAGUGAGAGGACCGAUGCUUUUCAUAAAUUUCUAAACCUGGUGGCUGGCAGCGACAAGUUGUUAUACUCCGAGUACUUCCACGGGUUCCUGUGUAGUGAGGAACAGAAUGAGGCUGUCUCCAACAUCAAGUUAGGACAGUACUCUGAUGCUGCUCCCCUCCUAGAGACUAUAUUCUACGUCAGAGAGAAGAUGUUUACUCUCUCCCAUAUUGCUGUUCUAGAGUGUGUUACAGAACUAGUCGCUUGUCUAGCCGCCGUUCAGGCUGACGAAACAGCUUACAGGUAUGCUCUUAUAGCUGGCCAAUGUAUCCAACUACAAGCCGGUCAUCCUUACUUAGAGAAAAUUAGAGUUCCAUUCCUUAAACUAGCUGAAUCUCUCUCAGAAUCCGUUGGACAUGAUCCUAGGCCCUACAAGAAGCAGUUAUCUGAACUUCGAUAUUCAGGGGUGAAAACUGACAGGGUUUCUACUCUUCUAGAUGUUAUCAGGGAUAAAUAUAUUCACACUGCUACAAAGACGACAAAAUCCUGGUGAAAACCAAGCUUAACACAGAUCUCCCUGAUACCCGUCCUUUCUUCCUUUCAUCGCAUUAUUCAUUCGAUUCACAAUGUGUUUGUGUACCAGAUAAUUACCAAACAUAUAAUAUUUUAAAAUUGUGUUCAAUAUUAUUGUAAAUGCAUAAAAUCACCAAUUGUAAAGAAAAUAUGUAUAGAAUCUAUGCGGAUGUGAUAAUUUAAUGUAAUUUAUAUGUUCAUGAUCUUUAUAUUUCCUUGAAUUAGCCUUCAAAAGUCAGAACGCUAAAAAAAGAUUUUUUUAUUGUUAACACACUUUAAACUGGUUGUAAAUGUAAACAUGUAACUUUUCUUUUAUGUACUUCUUAGCCAAAAAUUAUUAGGGGUCGAUGGUUUAUUUACACUCGGAUCCAAGAAUACCCAGAAAUCAGUGUACACAGUUCACAAAAUGUUUUUACGAUUUCUAGAUUUCCUUGAAAUACUAAUAACCUUAUAUUUAAUCUAAAUCGUAAAGUAUGUUAUACAUAUUUCAUGUUGUGAUUGUAUCGCAUUUCCGUUUUUACAGA